AAGUCGUAACAAGGUUUCCGUAGGUGAACCUGCGGAAGGAUCAUUAACACGUAUCCACGUUUAACCACCCGUGCACCUUCAUUUUAUACCGUCGUGUCAUGAAGCUGGCGAUGUUCUACUUUUGCCUUGCGGUUUGUCGAGCUGGUGUUGUUCUAUCUUGGGAGGCCCUUGUGGGGUGGUUAGCGAAGCAACCUCUGUCCAUGAGAAUGUGUCUUCGGGGUAGCUUGUUGUUCUCAUUUGCCAGCUUGUCGAAUCUCGAUGUCAAAUUCCUGACUCGCAAGUUUUGUGUCCGCGUCCCAGUUGUUCUUACCCACCGCGUACCAAAAGUGACGCAAUUCAACCGUGCGCAGGCCAAAAGGCCAGCGUCGGAAACCCGCACAACUGUUAACAAUGGAUAUCUUGGCUCUC
RNAcentral lists this unclassified non-coding RNA (408 nucleotides) under fungal sp. Its description in RNAcentral is "partial internal transcribed spacer region". The stretch from base 1 to 46 matches the Rfam family "Eukaryotic small subunit ribosomal RNA", at positions 1786 to 1831 of the family's 1831-position model. Lineage: Eukaryota; Fungi. The record is from RNAcentral.